ACUUGUAUAAAAAUAGCAGAAAUGGCCAUGUUGUCUCUCAGCCCCUGUCCUGGGAACGACGCUUGAAGAUAUGCAUUGGUGCAGCACGUGGAUUGGAUUACCUUCACACCGGGUGAUGGUACCAUGCAUAAUUAUCAUUUAAUAAUAUCUAUAGUAUUAUAUACAAAGCUAGGGAGCAAUAAAUGCAAAGACUAACACCACACGGCACACCCAUGUGAUACACCCAUGCCACAAGGACAACAAAACUUUAACUAUUGUACUUUUAAUUGACUCAACUGUAGCUUGACAGGAAGCAUGGAUGUGCACUGCAGGUAAGGCCAUGACUUUAACUAUAGUAAUUGUACUCCUUGCUCAAUAGUGCUCAUAUGGAUGUACUAUAAAUACAUGCAUUCUCACAGGUAAAAAGGGGGGCCUCACUAGUAUCAAGCAUGCUCACAACACACAAAAUAUUCAUCUCUAAAUAUUCUCUCUCUGGGCUAUCACAAAUAUUCACUCUUCAAAGCAUACAAAAUCACAUAUCUCUCUCAUUCUCUACUUAUGCUCUUAUGUUCCGAUCACUGAUUAUCACGCCGGAGGCGCUUCACGGGACACACCCCCGUGCGGCGUUGUUUUGCAGGUCCCGGGUCUAUCUCAAACCACCCAAAGCAAUGACAACGGACACAUCGACGAUAAAUGGACUUAUCAUUUGGCGCGCCAGGAAGGGGCCUUUUUUCAUUACGAAAAGCCUUCAGCACCUGCGCCAUUAUUUAUGCAAAGGAAGCUAACACAUAAAUCAGUGAAAGAGGGUCAUCAAAAAACAAAAUAAAAUAUUACAAUCUACUCCGAGAGGAAGCGGAGCAUCAAGCUAUUUUAUUUUCACUAGUUGGGCCCUAUGCUAUUUUUUCGGGGGAGCACCAUGUCAUUUUUUCAAACAAAACAUCACACCACUUUUAUACGUGGAGCAACAUGCAACUCCCCAAGGGGAUCACCAAACCAAACCAAGCAAAUAAACAAUAUGCUAAUAUCUCUCAAAGCGGACAAAAAAGCAACAUAUACAUGUCUCCGAAGUCAAGCAACAUGGCCACAUACAACUAGGUCCCGCAACCAAGCAACAUGGCCACACACAACUAGGUCCCGCGACCAAGCAACAAAGCAACACACAACUAUGUCCCACGACCAAGCAACAAAGCAACAUCAUCUCACAAAAGCAAGCACAAAAGCAUCAUGCACAUAUCACAAAAGCAAGCACAAAAGCAUCAUGCACAUAUCACAAAAGCAAGCACAAAAGCAUCAUGCAUCUAUCUCACAAAAGCAAGCAACAAAGCAUCGUGCACAUAGCACAAAACAAGCAAAAAACAUCAUACAUCUAUCUCACAAAAGCAAGCAACAAAGCAUCAUGCACAUGUCACAAAAGCAAGCAACAAAGCAACAUACAUCUAUCAUUACAAAUUUUGGUCCACCUUUACUGCAGGUCCGGACCUUCUGCACCCAAUACUAGCAAGUUACACUUAAAAUACCAAUAUACAGAAAAUCCGGCAAUGGGAGGCGGCCUUGUCCAAUACGGCCACAAAUAUCAACCUUAUGGAUCAUCUCAACAAAUUAAUUUUAUUAAAUAAAAAGCAUGAUGCCUGGACAUGCUUAUCUCGCUCAAAGGAUGCAACGACGACUACAGGUUCUUUUUUCAUGUGUACUGCCACUAUUUAUAUUCACAAUUGUCCGGAUAUGUUUGCAUAUUUUAUUUCAUCAUAAUUACCUCUAUCUUUGAUGUUUCAAAUAUCAGAGCAUGGUGCAUAUAUUCAUUUAUGUAACUCACAUAUAUGAUCGCUUCACACUUUGCUACUGUUGCUAUUAACUUUGCCGGCAGCUAGUAUCACUCAACUACAUGGUAUUGUUGUCCGCAACUCCACUUUAAGGAGUCCGCUACCUUACUGGUUUCUCCCCAGUUUCCCCAGAUCUACCCAAUAUUGAACACCACCUGACCACACACUAUUGUCAACCUGCAGCCCAUGCAUUUAUAUCUAUUUUCCACUUAGCAAUAUUUUGACGCGGGCAACAAAAUAUAUAUAUUCUUAAUAUGUUUCUUACUUUUGACACAUGCAAAUAAUCUCUAUAUUUUGAUUUUUAUAAUCAGAUAUUUUCGAGAUACAAGCUUUCAAUUUUAUUUAUUCAGUUCUUUUUCAUCAAUCACUUGAUCUCUCUUAUAUUAGUUAGUGCAACACAUAUUACAAAAAUAUCUUAUCACUUGAUUUAUUUGUCAAAAGAAAGAAAAGCUGCAACUUAGAAAUCCUACACAGUACCACAUAACAUGCAUUAGAAAUUUAUUCCUGCUUACACUCUUGUGAAAAGCUUGCUAAAGCAAAAUACAAAUUUCUGCCCGCUGUCAUAACUCAUAACGGUGCUUGUUGGCCAAGAGUUCACCUUUAAAUAUAUUUCAUGCUACAAACACUUGCACAUUGCAAUUUACGCAUUUAGUUUAAAAAAAAUCUGUCCUGGGGCAUGAAGCAAAAUUUCAAAUGCACAUUUUCUUAAAAUUUGCACAUCAUUAUUUUUUAAUUUUUCUAGCUAUGCUACGUGUUUCAUUAAUAUUAUUGUUAACCAGAAUAGAAAUUACACUCUUACAGACAAUAUUAGUACACCCAAAAUUCAUCCAUCACAGCAUCCAGAGGAUACAAGAUUUAUACAUAUUUUUUCUUUUAUAUAUCGCAAAGCUUGAUCCGGGUGAGCAACAUGAAUAAUUAUUUUUCAGGCUUUACACAUCUUCUUUCCUUUUUCUUUAAACCCAUUAACACUCCAAGGCGGGGUGCGGGCGUUGAUCUUGUAACUUAAUCUCUGGCUACAUGCAUGUUAUGUCUCUUGUACCGCCACCAAGCUCAUCACGGCAUCACGGAUUGCCGCUUGCAAAUCUAUCCCGCUACGCUCACGUCCUCAAACUUAAGCCCGUCACAUCAGUCCUAUUAGGCCCGCCACGUACCUUUAUUUAUGAACAUUAUAUAUAAGGGACCGCUGGCUCACUUCAACAGUAUCAUCUAGCAUCUUUGAAAGACUUUACACGGAGUAGCAGUUUACACAUAUACAUAUGGGUAUAUCAAUACAUAUGCAAACUCAACAUUCACGUGCAUAAUUGGAUUUAAAUCCGUCACCUUCAUUGGCACCGCCAUCAACGCCUCCCGCUAUCUCGUGUAAUUGUUGCAUCGGUUAAAAUAUAUGUUAUUAUUCUCCAUCUCACCAUUUUUCUUCAUCACGGCACAAAUCAAAUGCACCACCCAUAACAUACAAAAGAUGAGUCAAUAGCUUGUAAUAAGAUUUGAAUCCUAUCACACCUGUCCCCGUCCGCCAGCCUUUGGUGUCGCACACUAAGCUAUAUAUUACAUACAUAUAUACACAAUCUGCUACUGCUACCACACACCAGCAUGCCACACUGUAUCAUCAUGUGUCCGCUAGUAAGCAAGACAAUGGUGUAGAUAUCUAUAUUUGUUGUUCAACUCAUCUUGGACAAAGUAGGGACAAACCCAGCACCUCGGUUGUCGCGUCUUGUCGUCUUUACUCAUGCCCUGUAAUAUUAUUUUCACAUAUCUAAAAACAACAUGCCACCUCAUUCUAACAGUCCGCGACCUCCGCAACCUACCACACAAGCACAAAAUGGUCACCAACUUCCUACUCUCAGCAUAAUUCUAUAACACUGGAUAUUUCUCUUUUUCCCGCAACCUUUUUGCUAUAUCUCUUACAAACAGGUAGCCUAAAUAUUCAAACAAUCUGGCAGGCUAAAAUGAUCAUAUGAUUUAUAUAUGUUACCUUCAAACUCUCACUGAUAUAUUUGACUAAGUUACUACACUUAUACUUUGAUUCUGCGACAUUUUGGAAGCUUUUCUCUUAUUUCCAUCAACCACUAGUGUCUUGGGCUAAAUGGCCCGUCCGCCGUGACCUUUUUUACUAUCCCGCAUAGAUAACCAUAAUACAGCCCGCUAACUCACAACCGGUAUUAGUAUAUAUUAUAUGCUUUUAUUGUAUAUUAUAUGCGUUCAACAGAAUAAAUAUGUGUCCGCUACCCAUGUUCUACCUCUGUACCGCCAUCAAUGCGUGCCACCACCUCGUAUCAGUUGUUGCGUCCAUCUCUUUUUGCGUACAAAAUUAUGGGUAGCAGAUCGUCAAAAAGAAGCUUAUACAUUUUUUUUUUUUUUUUUUACAAUAACACCAACUUCAUCCCGGCCAUUCAGAAUAGCAAGAUAGUUGGCCGCCACUCAAUGCAUACCUAUAUGUGUGUUUAGGCAACAUAUUUUUAAUCACUACGGGGCGUGUCACUUUUAUUAACUUUUAACCUUUAUUAAUUAGCUUUGAGGCCCAUCACCUUUAUGUGUAUUGCAUAUGUUCUUAUACAAUCCGCUACCUCACUCACAAAAACCGUACCCGCGAUCUCGUUCUUGCGACCCACCAAGUCUAAGACACCAUUAUCAAACCACCGCAUGCAUUGAUUAUGUAGCAAACAAGCUUAUCUCUCUAGCUUAGGCCAACACAUAUUAAUUGUCUAUGCAUUCUUGUUUGUGCUGAAAUAUUUGUCAUCCUUUCACUUAAGUUCAUUUUUGGCUCCAUGCGUCACUUUCUCCUAUAUCAUAUUUUUUAGUCUUGUACAUCCGAGAACUAAUCUUUCACAUAUUUACACAAAAUUCAUAUAACACUGGGGGGCAACCAAGCACCAAUUUUUUCACAAAAUUUUUCUCUUUCCCGAGUGUUGUCCGCAACCAACACUGGGGGGCAACCAAGAACCAAUUUUUUCACAAAAUUUUUCUCUUUCCCGAGUGUUGUCCACAACCAACACUGGGGGGCAACCAAGAACCAAUUUUUUCACAAAAAUUUUUCUCUUUCCCGAGUGUUGUCCGCAACCAACACUGGGGGGCAACCAAGAACCAAUUUUUUCACAAAAUUUUUCUCUUUCCCGAGUGUUGUCCGCAACCAACACUGGGGGGCAACCAAGAACCAAUUUUUUCACAAAAUUUUUUCUCUUUCCCGAGUGUUGUCCGCAACCAACACUGGGGGGCAACCAAGAACCAAUUUUUUCACAAAAUUUUUCUCUUUCCCGAGUGUUGUCCGCAACCAACACUGGGGGGCAACCAAGAACCAAUUUUUUCACAAAAUUUUUUCUCUUUCCCGAGUGUUGUCCGCAACCAACACUGGGGGGCAACCAAGAACCAAUUUUUUCACAAAAUUUUUCUCUUUCCCGAGUGUUGUCCGCAACCAACACUGGGGGGCAACCAAGAACCAAUUUUUUCACAAAAUUUUUUCUCUUUCCCGAGUGUUGUCCGCAACCAACACUGGGGGGCAACCAAGAACCAAUUUUUUCACAAAAUUUUUCUCUUUCCCGAGUGUUGUCCGCAACCAACACUGGGGGGCAACCAAGAACCAAUUUUUUCACAAAAUUUUUUUUUUUUCCCGAGUGUUGUCCGCAACCAACACUGGGGGGCAACCAAGAACCAAUUUUUUCACAAAACUUUCUUUUUCCGUGUUGCUCGCACCCAACACAUGAAAAGCACCCAAACAACUUAUUUUUCUUCAAACUUGUCCCAGCUCGAUUUUCUUUUUUACUUACUCCUCCCAUCCGCUAAAGCAAAUGGAAGGAGUAGGGGGGCAAUGAUAGUACCAUGCAUAAUUAUCAUUUAAUAAUAUCUAUAGUAUUAUAUACAAAGCUAGGGAGCAAUAAAUGCAAAGACUAACACCACACGGCACACCCAUGUGAUACACCCAUGCCACAAGGACAACAACACUUUAACUAUUGUACUUUUAAUUGACUCAACUGUAGCUUGACAGGAAGCAUGGAUGUGCACUGCAGGUAAGGCCAUGACUUUAACUAUAGUAAUUGUACUCCUUGCUCAAUAGUGCUCAUAUGGAUGUACUAUAAAUACAUGCAUUCUCACAGGUAAAAAGGGGGGCCUCACUAGUAUCAAGCAUGCUCACAACACACAAAAUAUUCAUCUCUAAAUAUUCUCUCUCUGGGCUAUCACAAAUAUUCACUCUUCAAAGCAUACAAAAUCACAUAUCUCUCUCAUUCUCUACUUAUGCUCUUAUGUUCCGAUCACUGAUUAUCACGCCGGAGGCGCUUCACGGGACACACCCCCGUGCGGCGUUGUUUUGCAGGUCCCGGGUCUAUCUCAAACCACCCAAAGCAAUGACAACGGACACAUCGACGAUAAAUGGACUUAUCACCGGGACAGGUCUGCAGCAAAGAGUGAUGCACCGCGAUCAGUGGCGGAGGCAGAACACAAUGCUCAAGGGGGCACUUUUUAAUUUUUAACAUUCUAAGGGCAAUUUUUAACAUUCCAGGGGGCACAAGGAGUAAUAUUUUGUAGAUUAAUAUUGUCAAAUAUGUGGAUCUCAUAUAAAAACAUACACACUUUUCUGAAACCUAUGGGGGCAUGGGCACCCAGAGGCCCCCAUGUCCCUCCGUCUCUGACCGCGAUGUGAAGAGCUCAAACAUCCUUUUGGAUGAGUAUUGGGAGGCAAAAGUUUCUGACUUUGGUUUGUCCAAAGUUGGCCCUGCGAAUCAAUCAUCUUCUCACGUGAGCACACACGUCAAAGGCACGCCAGGAUAUAUGGAUCCAGAGUAUUUCUUGACGCAUAGACUGACGAGGAAAUCUGAUGUAUAUUCAUUUGGAGUUGUUUUAUUUGAAGUGUUGUGUGGAAGGUGUGCUUUGGAUAUGAAAAUUGACGAGGACCAGCAAUCUCUAGCACGAUAUGCUCAUCGAUGCAUUCAGGAAGGAACCACAUAUCAGAUGAUUGAUUCGACUAUUAGAGGACAAAUCUCAAAAGACUGUCUAAAGGUGUUUUUAGAUAUUGGCGAUCAGUGCUUGAAUUAUCAGCAACGUAAGCGGCCUACAAUGGCUGAUGUCGUCGCAAAGCUUGAGCUUGCUAUGGAGUUACAAAAGAGAACAGUCUCUUCUGUGGACUACAUAUUUCUUGCAGCUACCAGAAGGGUUGGUGACAAUCAAGACAAUAACAAUAUUGUUGGGGUUCUUGACAAUCUUGAGGAUGAUACAGGUCUAGUUCUUUCCAACCAAGAGGAUGAUACUGGUGGGAUUGUCGAGAAUCAUAGAAAUCUGCCCCUUUUAAAGAAGAAAGACAAAGGUAUGUUAAAACUUGUUGCUCGAAAUAUGUUUAAGGCUAUAUUUGUAGUGGGAAGAGGUAAGAAAAAUUUAGCAAGACAGAAUACAGAUCAUGGCAGUCGUUUAAGGCCACCCAACCUGGAGCCAAUUAUAAAUGGGAGCACAAUAUCUGUUGAUUCUUCUUCAUCCUUAACCCGCUCUUUGUCAGCCGAAACCCAAAUCCCCCAGUUUUCAUUUCUAAAGAUUCAAGCUGCCACGAACUCUUUCCAUGCAGGCCUGGUUCUAACUCACGGCCGUCAAGGUAUGGUCUUUAAAGGUCAUCUUGACAGUGGAGAGGUCGUCAUAAAACAGUUGAUACUAACCAGACAAAGAAGAGGGUAUCUAUCUUUCCACAAUGAGAUUUUACGCUCUAAGAUCAAUUAUCUUCAUGUGCUACCAUUGAUCGGAUUUUGUUGCGAUUGUGAUGAUGUAUAUAGGCUCUAUCUGGUAUCCAAGUACAUGGCCAAUAACUCAUUAGAUUAUCAUCUUCACAACAACAACAAUAGUACUCCUCUGACAUGGAACUUGAGGCUCCAGAUAUGUAUUGGGGUUGCCAAGGGUUUGAACUACCUCCACAAGGGCAUAGCUAAUCACAUAAUAAUUCACGGCACACUGAAGCCAAACAAGAUCCUCUUAGAUGAGAACUGGAUACCUAAUAUAUGUGGAUAUGGUUUGUGGCGACUUGGAUCAUCGGUUAUUAAUACUGAUAAUUACUUGCGCUCUCAGGAAUUGAUCCCACCUUUCGAUUUCUGGGAAACAUGGGCGUACUUGUCUCCAGAGCAAAAGGCGGAGGAACGAUUGACUCCAAAAUCAGAUGUUUACUCACUGGGUAUUGUUCUCUUGAAUAUACUGUUUGAUUGGAGAGAAAUUAUAAUGAAUUUAGCUCGUCUUAAUAAUGCUGAGGUGAGUUUGUCUGCUUGGAUAAAAAACAACAUCAGAAAAAAAACUCUGAUAUUUUUCAUGUACCCAUAUCUUGCGGGGAAAGUAGCAUCAGAAUGUUUCGUUGAAAUAUUAGAUAUUGCUUUGCAUUGUUUGAUGCAAAAUAAAGAUGAUCGUCCAUCAAUGGAGGAUGUGAUGAAGAGGCUAGAGUCUGCACUUGAGUUUCAGAUGAAUCACACUUGGAAUUUUUUUGAUGAUGAGGUCAACCAGCUUGAGUGUACACUUCAGAUUCAAUUGCAAACGAAUUACAGUUGGAGGUUGGAUGUGGACGGCAAUGAUCAUAUUGAGACGAGCACGGGGAGCCUGAAUGAUGACGAGAAUGAGGACGAUGAUGAUAGGAUGAACAGUUGGAGCUCAAAUCAUGAUAAUACGCAGAUGAGCAUUCCAAAUUUCGAUUUUGACAGUAUGGAAUUUGCUAGAUAAGCAUAUUGGAUAAUUAACCAUGUCUCAGGGCUUGACUGAGAAUUUGUUCACACAAACUGAACAAAUUCGGAGAAGAAUUUUGUUGAAGCUCCUGAUAGAGCAGUCAAGGACACCGAGAGUAUGAGUAUUGGUCAGUUAAAGAGUUUGAACAACAAGAGUAAACUGGUAUGUAAUUAUAGACUUAUAGUAUCCUGGAACAGACGAUGCGCUUACAUGAAAGAUCAUUAGCCUUUCAGAUUUAGAUACUAUUGAAUGUAGUUGUGUAGUUACAAUUAGUAUAUGCUUGUCACAAUGAACUGAAAGUAUUGUUUCAAUCAGUGUAUUUGAACAAGUAAAUUCAGCAAAUUUAGUUUUGAAUCAGGCUAUUAUUAUUGGUUGUAGAUAUGUAUUCAAUUCGCGCUUCAACUACAUGGAUACUGUUGAACUUGCGCAUUCUAUAUUCUAAACCCAACAGAAUUAUUAUGGAUACGCUUUAAGUAUAUUAUUACCAUGCAUCAUCAGUAAUGAGAGCUACUUUGAAAUUGGUUUACAAGACUAGCGAGCAUUCCAUAAGGACAAGAAGUUGUUUCCAGACCAGUGAUGACAAGUUGGGAGGGAGUAAUCAGUCAUGUGAACACUGGAACAUACGGAUCCAGAGUAUUUCUUCACGCAUAGACGGACUACAAAAUCUGAUGUAUAUUUGGAGUCGUCGUAAUAUCCGAAGUGCUGUCUGGAAGGCGUGGUAUGGAUAUGAAAAUUCAUGACGACCAACAAGGCAACAACCUCUAGCUAGAUAUGCUCAUCGAGGCAUUUUACAAGGAACGAUAGAUCAGAUCAUUAAAUCUACUCCUAGAGGACAAAUCUCGAAAGACUGUCUAAAGGUGUUUGUAGAUAUUGAAGAUCAGUGCUUGCAUUAUCAGCAAAGUAAGCGCCCUACAAUGGCCGGUGUGGUUGCAAAACUUGAAUUGCUUUUUACUUACAAAACAGAACAGAGUAUUCUGUGGACUUUCCUUUAGAUACAAGAAGGGUUCUUGCCUUCUUGACAUUCUAGAAAAUAAUAAUAGCUCCUCAAAGAAGAAAGCAAAGGUAUGUUGAAACUUGUAGGUAGAAAGAUGUCCGCGAGCUAUUUUAGUAGCAAGAAAAGGUAAGAAAAAUGUUGGGAGUCACAGUGAAAAUCACAGCAACAAUGUAUAGAGCAGUUAUAUUAUAUAAACAAGAGUAGGCCAACGAAACCACAACAAUAUAGCAUGCACGAAGAUCGUAUACACAAUAAUCAGUGACUGAGAAAUUACGAGAAAAGAAGAGAAAGGCGCACCUUACACCGUCGCUAGAAUUUAGUAUACAGAACAGCUGAGUCGCCUAGCCCUUCGAUGAAGACUAGACUGUUCUUGAAGUGAUUAUUGCCCCACUACGCUGUGAUGGGUAGUCGCAAUAUCGCUCCCAGGAUAAAACAGCACAGACCGAACCGCUCACAGACACGAGUACGAUCAACAGCGAUCAACACCUCAGUUCGCCCGAGAACAGUAUGUAUAUGUGUAUAUAUCGGAGCAGAGGGUGAGAGUGUAAUAGAGAAGAAUGAGAAUGGUGUUUGUGUUUUUCCCGUGUUCCAACUCAAGUGUCGAGGCUCACUAUUUAUAGUGAGGCCAAGCCACCAACACACUGUCCAGAUUCAUCUGUCCAGGUUCAAUGAAUCUGUAUCUGUCAGAUAUACUGACCAGAUUCAUUUGUCCAGAUUCAAUGAAUCUGUAUCUGUCAGAUAUACUGACCAGAUUCAUUUGUCCAGAUUCAAUGAAUCUGUAUCUGUCAGAUAUACUGACCAGAUUCAUUUGUCCAGAUUCAAUGAAUCUGUAUCUGUCAGAUAUACUGACCAGAUUCAUUUGUCCAGAUUCAAUGAAUCUGUAUCUGUCAGAUAUACUGACCAGAUUCAUUUGUCCAGAUUCAAUGAAUCUGUAUCUGUCAGAUAUACUGACCAGAUUCAUUUGUCCAGAUUCAAUGAAUCUGUAUCUGUCAGAUAUACUGACCAGAUUCAUUUGUCCAGAUUAAAUGAAUCACAUUCUCAUUUCAAGCUCUUUCAAGCCACUGUAUUCAACUCUAUUUCUCAAUGGAUUUCACUAAGAAAAUGUCCCGGAAAUUACAUCAAGAACAUAUUAAAAAAUAUGCUUUAAACUUUCCAUUUUCUAACAAUCCCCCACAAAUCCAUAUAGAUAUGCAUAUUAGUCCUCAUCAUGACUUGUUUUUCAGAGUAGGUACCCUUCCGGGUUUGAACCCUCCUAAGUCCCCUACUUCGAUGGCUACCGGAUAUAGAUGGAUUGUUUCACCUUGAAUCUCUAUCCGUUGGGUGUAACCACACUCCAUAGACGACGACAAGUCAAAGGCUAUGGUGCCGAUCUACGGCUUUGAGACAUUAAUGGUCGUGUCUCGAUCCUGUUCGUCGAAUGUUUCAAGGAAUAACCCUUUCCUCUAAUUGCGACCUCACAAUUACAUUCGCUUAGCUGGGCAUCUCCAGAGAUGUACUGCAACCAUCUCGUCAAAUGACUUGACCCCAUUCAGAGUUCUAAAAACUCUUGCUAUACUUGCAGUGUCAGUACCUUUUAGGUUUGCAGGGGAUAGACUCAGAUGCAUAAGUAUCUACAUUGUAGUUAAAGGUACUACCGAUCCACCCUUACAGCUUGUUUACCACAUUGAAUACACUUUGAGGGAUCUCCUCUCAGAUGUAUUGGGUUCCCGCUGUAGAUGAAUCAUGAUGGGUUAUCAGUCCCAUCCCCAACCUUGACUUAAGGACAACAGCAUGCUCAAGCCCUUUAGUCAGUGGAUCAGCUAUGUUAUCUUGAGUUCCAAUGAACUCAAUAGCAAUAGUCCGAUCAGACACCAAACCCCUUAUAGACUUAAGUCUAACUUGGAUGUGUCUCUUUGUUUUAGCAUUAUACUUGACACUUCUGAUCUUGUCGAUAGUUGUACGGCUAUCACAAUGAACAGAAAUUGCCGGUAGCGGACGACUUACUACAGGUAACACAGACAUGAGUCCAUGUAACCAUUCAGCCUCCGUACCCGUGGCAUCCAAUGCACACAACUCGGCCUCAAACGUAGACCGAGUUACUAUAGUCUGUCUAGUCGACUUCCAGGAUACUGCUCCACCCGCAAGGGUAAACAGAUAUCCAGUCACUCCAUUGGAACCAGACUUCUUAGCUAUCCAACUUGCAUCACUAUAUCCCUCAAGCACACUCGGAUAUCUCCUGUAGUGCAACCCAAGAUAUAUGGUGCCUUUCAGAUAUCUAAGUACUCUAUCUAGAGCAUCCCAAUGAGUUCUGUUUGGACAGCUUGUAUAUCUUGCUAACUUAGACACAGAAUAUGUUAUAUCUGGUCUAGUACCAUUAGCAAGAUAUUGCAAACUACCAAUAAUCUGAGAAUAUCUUAACUGAGACACAGGUACACCUGAAGCAUUCUUGAUAAGAGCAACUUUAGGAUCAUAUGGUGUACUAGCAAUUCUACAAUUUGAAUAACCAUACUUCUCAAGUAUAGAUUUCUCUAUAUAAUGAGAUUGUGACAAGGUUAUUCCCUCAGUUGACUGAGUCAACUUGAGUCCAAGAAUCACAUUCGCCUCACCCAUGUCCUUCAUUUCAAAGUGUUUUUUCAAGAAAUUCUUUGUCUCGUUAAUAAUCUCAAUAUUGGUUCCAAACAGUAGUAUAUCAUCCACAUACAAGCACAACACAAUAUGUUCAUUUCCUUUAACCUUAUAGUAGACACACUUGUCAUUAUCAUUAACUAUAAAAUCAAAAGUCAAAACAGUGUCAUCAAACUUUUUGUGCCAGUCUCUAGGUGCUUGUUUCAAGCCGUAGAUGGAUUUGACUAACUUACAUACUUUGCUCUCAUUGCCAGAUGCAACAAAUCCCUCAGGCUGAUCCAUAUAAAUCUCUUCUUCAAGAUCACCAUGAAGAAAAGCUGUCUUUACAUCCAUUUGAUGGAUGAUAAGACCAUGUACGGAAGCCAAUGCUACAAGCAUUCGGAUCGUUGUCAAUCUUGCAACAGGAGAGUAUGUAUCAAAGUAGUCAAUACCUUCUCUUUGCCUAAAACCUUUAGCAACCAAUCUAGCUUUAUACUUAUCUAUUGAGCCAUCUGGUUUCAUCUUCCUUUUGAAGAUCCACCUACAUCCUAUAGUAGAACACCCAGGAGGGAGGUCAACCAACUCCCAUGUUCCGUUAGAAACAAUAGAGUCAAUUUCACUCUUCACAGCGCCUUUCCAGUGCCUAGAUUCCGAAGAAUCCAUGGCUUGUCGGAAAGUCAAAGGUUCGUCCUCGACAUUGUAAGUGAUAAAAUCACUUCCAAAGUCCUUAACUACCUUUGCACGCUUGCUCCUUCUAGGUUCCUCAACUUCAUUAGGAGUAGAGCUACUAGUAGGAUCUGCCCCCACAUUUGUCAUCUUUUCCACAUGAUCGGGAAUAGAACUAGAUGUGUGAGUAGGAUCAACACUAGAAGAACUUUGAGGUAUACCAGUCUUCAUAGGGAAGACAUCCUCAAAGAAUGUUGCAUCACGAAACUCAACUAUCGUGUUUGCCACUAUACCAUCUAUGUCAGAUUUUAAUACUAAAAAUCUCAUAGCUGUAGUGGUUUCGAGAUAGCCCAGAAAGAUACAAUCAACAGUUUUCGGCCCUAGUUUCUUUCUCUUGUGUUCAGGGACAAGUACCUUCGCAAGGCACCCCCACACACGAAGAUACUUUAGACUAGUUUUCCUGCCUUUCCAUAAUUCGUAAGGUGUCUUGUCCAUAUGUUUCAGAGGGACUCUAUUCAGAAUAUGGCAAGCCGUAUUCAGAGCCUCCCCCCACAUGUACUUGGGCAACCCCGAAUUAAUCAACAUACUGUUAAUCAUAUCUUUAAAAGUUCUGUUCUUUCGUUCUGCCACCCCAUUAGACUCAGGUGUAUAUGGUGGAGUCACCUCAUGAAUUAUACCAUUGCUCUUGCAAAAUUCAUUAAAGGUGUUUCCCGUAUAUUCACCACCUCUAUCAGAUCUCAAACGUUUAAGUACUUUACCAGUUUGUGUUUCAACUUCAGUUUUAAAUCUAAUGAAUUUUUCAAGUGCUUCAUCUUUAUGUUUAAGCAAAUAAACAUAACAAUAUCUACUACAAUCAUCUAUAAAGGUAAUGAAAUAUCUACAGUGUUCCUUAGUCAACACACCACCAAAUUCACAUAUGUCCGAGUGCACUAAAUCUAACAAGUCAGAAUCCCUAACCACACUAUGAAAAGGUUUCCUUGUUAGUUUAGCUGUCACACAUACUUGACAUUUAGUUUUCUUAUCAAUGGCAUGCUUUGGAAUCAACUCUAAGUUCAUCAUAUUCUUUAGAGCACCAAAAUUUAAAUGACCAAGCCUAGAGUGCCACAAAUCGGAUGAUUCAAUAUUAUUAACAGAAGGAGAAGCAAUAUCAUUAAUAAAACCGCCUAAAACAGGCUCCACAUUUAUUAAAAACAAGCCGUCUGACAAGUAGCCCUUGCCAAAAAACACACCAGUCUGAGUAAUAACUACUUUAUUACACUUUAAAGAAAGUUCAAAGCCAUUUUUAACUAAACAACUUCCACUAAUAAUAUUUCUACGAAUCUCGGGAACAUGAUGCACUCUAGUAAGGGAUAGAACACGCCCUGAAGCAAACUUCAGGUCCACGUUUCCUAUUCCACGAACUUGAGCCGCACUAGCAUUCCCCAUCGUCACUGUCAUCCCAUGAGCCUGUUGAUAAGAUACAAACAGAGUAAUAUCAGCACAAAUGUGCACAUUAGCUCCCGUAUCAAUCAACCACUCAUUAGACAGAUAAGUGGAAAAUAGUUCAGGGUUGUACUUAACAUACCCGUCAUUGGUUUCAGAAGCAACAGCCUCACCAACAACCAUGUUAAGCACAGGCCCAUCAGUGGUUCCAAGCACAGUAUUUGCUUGUGCUACCACCUCAGCUUUCUUUGCUUUCUUUACAGGACAGUCCUUACUCCAAUGACCAACCUGUCCACAAGACCAACAUGGUUUGUUGGCCUUUGAUUUCUUAGCCUUGCCCUUGUCAGUUUUGGGCUUAGUGUUCACCUUCUUAGCGACAGACUUUCUUUUCUGUCCCACAGUCACUACAUUGACCUUCGAGCUACCAGAUUCAGUUGGCAUCACAUGUCCCUGUUUGGACUUGUGCUGCUCCUGCACAGAGAUGUCCAGCAUCAGGUUAGUCCAAGUGAUCUCUCCCUUCUGCCUUUUCAGGGAGAGUGCAAACUCUUCCCAAGACUUAGGGAGUUUUUCAAUCACAGACAUAACCAAAAACUUUUCAGGAAGGUCCAUUCCGGACUCCUUCAAAGCAUGCACCAACGUCUCAAACUCAUGCACCUGCUCAGUCAUGGAUUUUGUAUCCACCAGUUUGAAGUCCAGGAACUUAGCCACAGAAUACUUUUCCAACCCUUGCGAGUCAGUAUUGUGUGUCUGAUCAAGUUUCUCCCACAAGGUCUUAGCAGUGUAGGAGUCAGAUGAGUAAACAUCGAACAGAGUGUUCGUUAAGGCUGCUAGAAUAGCAGCCCUAGCCACCCCAUCCUUUUCCUCCCACAUAGCAUAGGCCUUAAGGGUUUCAGCCUUUUCCUGUACCACAACUGGUUUCUCAUACUGCAACACCGGCCAUAGACCCUUAACCGUAAGCCACAGUUUCAUCUUUUUCUGCCAACGAGAAAAAGAAACUCCCCCACCGAAUUUAUCAGGAAUACCUGAUAAAUCAAUGGGCUGUGGAAAACGAUACGUAGUCCAAUCGAUGUUACUAGUAACACCAGACCCAGAACCAGCACCACCACCAACAACAGAAUCCGCAAUCUCAUUAACCAUCUUGCUUACUACACAAUAUAACAGAUAAUCACUUCAAGAUUGUUGGGAGUCACAGUGAAAAUCACAUCAACAAUGUAUAGAGCAGUUAUAUUAUAUAAACAAGUGUAGGCCAACGAAACCACAACAAUAUAGCAUGCACGAAGAUCGUAUAUACAAUAAUCAGUGACUGAUAAAUUACAAGAAAAGAAGAGAAAGGCGCACCUUACACCGUCGCUAGAAUUUAGUAUACAGAACAGCUGAGUCGCCUAGCCCUUCGAUGAAGACUAGACUGUUCUUGAAGUGAUUAUUGCCCUACUACGCUGUGAUGGGUAGUCGCAAUAUCGCUCCCAGGAAAAAACAGCACAGACCGAACCGCUCACAGACACGAGUACGAUCAACAGCGAUCAACACCUCAGUUCGCCCGAGAACAGUAUGUAUAUGUGUAUAUAUCGGAGUAGAUGGUGAGAGUGUAAUAGAGAAGAAUGAGAAUGGUGUUUGUGUUUUUCCCGUGCUACAACUCAAGUGUCGAGGCUCACUAUUUAUAGUGAGGCCAAGGCACCAACACACCGUCCAGAUUCAUCUGUCCAGGUUCAAUGAAUCUGUAUCUGUCAGACAUUCUGACCAGAUUCAUUUGUCCAGGUUCAAUGAAUCUGUAUCUGUCAAACAAUAUUAAAAUAUGUUUUAAACUUUCCAUUUUCUAACAAUCCCCCACAAAUCCAUAUAGAUAUAAAAUAUAGCGAGGAAGAAUAUGUAUUCAAGUCGCUCAAGGCCAACCAGACUGGGGCAAUAUCGAAAGACACUGUCUAUUGAAUCUUUUUCAUACUUAAUUGGCUCUUUGUCUGAGAUUACGCAGAUGCUCCAAUUUUCAUUUCUAAAGAUUCAACUAAUAAUGAAUGAUACAGAGAUGAGUAUUCCUGAUUCAGAUUCUAAACAUACUCUCUCAAAACCUUGGGAACUAAUAUGAUAUUGACAAUAUUGUUAUCAGUUUUAAUCUGUAUUCUGCUUCAUAUUUCCAACUAUUAUGUGUGAACGAUAUAGGUUUUAAUAAAUACCAGGAGAAAAAAAAAGGACUGACAGGAUCUGAACAUUGUGUUGGAGACUUGGAGUGAUGUCUCACUGUCGAGGCACUAUGAUACUAUCACUAAAUUGCAUUCAACAAUGUUUGAUAAAGUGAGUUCCUACAAAUAGAGAGAGGCAGAACCCCGGGUUGAUUAAGGCUCAAUCCGGGGCGCAGGUGUUCUUACUGCAUGACUGGUAAAAACUGUUAAAUUAAUUUUGCAAUUUCGAAGCAGUGAUGGCUAAAGAUUCAAGUAACAUAUUAUCGUUGUUUUUUGUCUUUGCAUUCCUAAAUCAUGGAAACUCCCUGUACACUGAUUUUCUAUACAAAAUCGUUGCUGCGCCUUAACCACAUCUGUUGUAGUCCAUAAUCAGGUUUUCAAAUGGGAUCUUCUUCAACAAGUGCCUUUUUGGUCCGUAACUUGCUUAUGAUUUUACUUGCAAGCAACAGUGUUCUUUGUCACAUACUCAGAAGUAGAGGUCAUCAGAUGAGCUGUGGGAGACGAGGUGAGACGAGCGUCUCAGGCUCGCGAGAAGAGACGAGACGAGUUGAGUUGAGUUCUGGCCAGCUCAACUCGUGUACAACUCGACGAAUUGAGUGAGCUACACGAGUUAUUAUUCUUGUUCUUUUUUUAAAUAAUGUGUAGAAAUUGGAUAUUAAUUUAUUAUGUAAUAUAUAAAAGAGGACAGUAUCUCAAUUAAUUUUAUUAAUUGAUAAAAUCACAAAUAAUUUAAAAGGACUUCUCUCUAAAAAACAGAAUAAACCGCAGAUACAUUUACAUCAAAAAACAUUUAAAAUCAAAAACAUAAAAAACUAAAAACACUAAAGCAAAUAUUUAAAAUCGAAAACGUAAGAAACAUAAAAAACAUAAAAACACUAAAAUAAAUAUUUAAAAUAAAAAAUAUAAAAAAACGUAAAAACAUAAAAUCGAAAAAACUUAUCAAGAUCCAUCGUGGUAGCGAUACGGACGAGACGAGUUGUCAUGACGAGAUGAGCUCAGUGCCAAGACAAGCCGAUUUGCCGAGAUGAAACGAGUCUGAAUCGUGUAUUCUAAAUUUGUGAACGCUCGUCUAGUUAAAUAAGAGCAAGUCCAAUGGUGAUGCUAAAAUGUGUAUAGCUAUUAUUAUAAUUUGAAGCCAAAAAGUGGUUUUUGAAGUUAAAAUAGAACUCAUAGUCCAAUGGGUAGAUUCAAAAUAGAACCAAUUAGAUGUAUAUUUAAUUAACCUUCAACUACCCUCCAAUAAAUACACAUAACAUCUAAAUAUAGCAUCCCAUUGGAGUUGAAUUUUUCUCUUGGGUGCUAUAUUAUAACAAUAGCAACAUCUAUACUUGGUUCUAUAUUUAGCACCAAGUAUAGCAUUUUGCUAUUUUGCAUCUAAAUAUAGCAUCCCAUUGAAGUUGCAUUUUUUCCUUGAGUGCUAUAUUAUGGCAAUAGCACCCUCUUUAGCUCCCCCAUUGGACUUGCUCUAAUAUGUGUCAAGUUAUAUUCAUCUCAUUUUGUACCCAGUUAAAAGCGAGUUUUGAGACGAGCCGAACCGAAUCGUUACGAGCCGACUCGUUUGUUUGGCCACCCAUGCUCACAAAUACUGCACAAUUUCCGUAUAGAUCAUAAUUAUGUAGAAUAUGAUAUAUACAUGGGUACAAUUAUUUUGUAUAAACCAUAAUGUAGGUGUGGACUUGUAUUUGGAAAAUAAAGCUUUUUUCUCCCUUUUGAUUUGACAAGAAAUAAGAAAUACAGUGUCGGUUUGUUUAAGAGAAGCGGAAGCUGUUUGUAGCUUUUGUUUUUCUUGACCUGUUUGUGCAAAUAAGUUUAAACACUUUUAAAAAGCUGAAAAUUCUGAUUCACCUCUCACUUCUACAUAAUUAUGAUCUAUACGGCAGUAUUUGUGAGCAGGGGUGGCCAAACAAACGAGUCGGCUCGUAACGAUUCGGUUCAGCUCGUCUCAAAACUCGCUUUUAACUGGGUACAAAAUGAGAUGAAUAUAACUUGGCACAUAUUAGAGCAAGUCCAAUGGGGGAGCUAAAGAGGAUGGGUACAAUUAUUUUGUAUAAACCAUAAUGUAUACGGGUGUUCGCGGUGCGGGCGGUGCGAUUUUUUCCUAAAACCGCAAACCAACCCGCGUAUGCGGUUUGGGGAAAUUCGUAAACCGCAACCGCACCGCGUAAUAUAAAAACCGCGUAAACCACACCACAAAAUUGCGGUGCGGUGUGGUGCGGUUCAUGCGGUUUGCGUGGUUUAUACAUUCAAAAAAAUUAUACUUUUGAAUGACAAUAUAAAUAUAAUUUUAAAAUAUAUGUAUUUAAAAAUAAUUUUUAUAAAAUACACACACACAAAUUUAGAGUUACGAUACUCAUUAAAAGAAAUAUAAACUAAAAUAUGAGUAUGAUAAUGAUGAAGAUGAAAAGAUUUCAACACUUACAAGUCAUUUUAUUGGAAAACAAAUAUAAUUAUAAUAUUUAAUUUGUCGAAUUAAAAAUAACUUUAUUUGUAUCGUAAAAUUAUUAAAAUUAAGUUGAGUAACUUGAACAUAUAUACACACAUAUAGGAGAUAAUAUCAUAAUAAAUAAUCUAUUUGUAUUCUAUAUAAUAUAAAUAUUUGUAAUUAUAUGUGAUAUAUUUUUAUAUAUUAGAAAAUGGCGGUGCGGUGCGGUUUGAACCGCGCAUGUAUAAUGUCAAACCGCAACCCGCACCGCACCGCGCGGUUUGUUAAAAUUUCAACCCGCAACCGCACCACGAAAAAGAAAAACCGCAUUUUGCGGUGUGGUGCGGAGCGGUGCGGGCGGUUUAUGCGGUGUGGGCGGUUUGAUGAACACCCCUAAUAAUGUAGGUGUGGACUUGUAUUUGGAAAAUAAAGCUUUUUUCUCCCUUUUGAUUUGACAAGAAAUAAGAAAUACAGUGUCGGUUUGUUUAAGAGAAGCGGAAGCUGUUUGUACCUUCUGUUUUUCUUGACCCGUUUGUGCAAAUAAGCUUAAACACUUUUAAAAAGCGGAGAAUGCUUAUUUACCUUUCACUUCUAAUCUACUUUUUUGCUUUAAACAAGAAUUCACUUUUUUUAAAUUUGCUCAAACGGCCUCAAAGUCUAGAAGACUCAGACAAGACUCAGACAGAGUCGUCCAUCUUAGAUGCUUGGCCCAGAGUCAAGUUGUGAUGGUUGUUUCUCUCCGGUUUCGUGUAGACUUAUCAUUAUGGUCUUCACUUAAAUCUUAUAACAUUGCCGUAUAGAAGAAUAACAUUAGCAAUUUAGCAUCCCCUACCGCCCUGCAAACUAUAAUUCAUUACCAAUAAUUCUACCAUGUUUCUUACACUUUUUUGCUCCUACCUUUUUCUUGAUCACCAGCUUUUUGUUUCAGACACAACUCCAAUUAGUAGCAUAACAAGUGACAGUUCUGAUCGUAAUCUGGUAGUUCCAAGCCUCGUUUCUCAGACUCCAGCUGUCCAGCAUAUGUCUCUUUGAUUCCACAACUGAAAAAAGAAGUUCCAAAUCCUGGCCUAAAUAAUGCAUUUGCAACUUAUGUGAUUCUGGUGAUCACGCUCUUGAAUGUCAUUGUGUAUAAGCUUAGGCAAUAUCAUGAAGAAGAAUAUCACAAUCAGAGUAGUCAGUCAUCAUCAACCUUUAAGAACCAGUGGCGCCUAUUUUCUUUAAAAGAGAUUCGAUUGGCUACUCACAACUUUGAUGGAGAUUUGGUUCUCGGGAGGGGUGGAUUCGGUAAGGUGUACAAAGGCCAACUGAAUGAUGGGGCCAUGACCAUUGUUGCGGUGAAGCGGUUGAAUUCUAAGUCCAGGCAAGGAGCCAGAGAGUUCUGGACCGAGAUUGAGAUGCUCUCUAAUUUUCGACAUAGCCAUCUUGUGUCCCUGAUUGGUUAUUGUAACGAGGAUCAGGAGAUGAUACUUGUUUAUGAGUACAUGCCUCAUGGCACACUUUCUGAUCACUUGUAUAAAAGCAGCAGAAAUGGCCCUGUUGUUCCUCAGCUUCUGUCCUGGGAACGACGCUUGAACAUAUGCAUUGGUGCAGCACGUGGAUUAGAUUACCUUCAUACGGGGACAGGUCUGCACCAAAGAGUGAUACACCGCGAUGUGAAGAGCUCAAACAUCCUCUUAGACGAGCACUGGGAGGCUAAAGUUUCUGAUUUUGGUUUGUCCAAAAUUGGC
Molecule: long non-coding RNA, 20462 nt
Filed under: Daucus carota (carrot)
Lineage: Eukaryota; Viridiplantae; Streptophyta; Magnoliopsida; Apiales; Apiaceae
Description: long non-coding RNA (DCAR_LNC002257)
Source: RNAcentral